UGGGGAAUUUUGCACAAUGGGGGAAACCCUGAUGCAGCGACGCCGCGUGAUUUAGAAGGCCUUCGGGUUGUAAAAAUCUUUUCUAUGGGAAGAAAAUGACAGUACCAUAGGAAUAAGGACCGGCUAAUUACGUGCCAGCAGCCGCGGUAAUACGUAAGGUCCGAGCGUUGUCCGGAAUCAUUGGGCGUAAAGGGUACGUAGGCGGGUAAGCAAGUUAGAAGUGAAAUCCUAUAGCUCAACUAUAGUAAGCUUUUAAAACUGCUCAUCUUGGGGUAUGGAAGGGAAAGUGGAAUUCCUAGUGUAGCGGUGAAAUGCGCAGAUAUUAGGGGGAAUACCGGUGGCGAAGGCGACUUUCUGGCCAUAACCUGACGCUGAGGUACGAAAGCGUGGGUAGCAAACAGG
Molecule: ribosomal RNA, 402 nt
Filed under: bacterium
Lineage: Bacteria
Description: partial 16S ribosomal RNA
Rfam family: Bacterial small subunit ribosomal RNA
Source: RNAcentral